AUAUAUGUACAAUAUUAUUAAUAUUAAUGAUCUCGCAUGUGUGUAAAUGAAACAGUGAGAGAAGUGGUGUGUUGGCAAUGAUUAGAACGAAAUAGUUCCAUAGCCAAAAUAUAUAUUUUUUGACUUUCCGCGUGUAUUUAAGAAUUUGUUUGGGUAUUUGUUAAGUUUGAACAUUUUUUUAAAUCUCUGGUGAAAUAAAAACGUUAUGUUAACGGUAAAAAAAUAUUACGUGCCGAAACCGUGGUCGCGCAUUAAUAAUGUUAAUAGUCACUUGUUUGUUUUCUCUUUCAGCCGCUUUCAGCAGCUCUUUAAGCAGUCUGCAGUCUGUACGCCAUUUUGCAGUGUGUUUUAAUAUAUUACUGACCGUGAAAUAACGUACAGUUUGUGUUUCAGGAUUUUGUGUUAAUAUUGUGUAUUUUAACUUUGUUAUAUUAUUUAUUAUCUACUAUUGUAAUGAUGGAAUUUGUUAUCGUUUUGAUAUUUUGUGUGGUUCUUGUGAUUGCUGUAAUGGUAAUUGGUUCCGGGAUGGGGAAAGCUACUUCGUCGCAGCGUCAGAUGGACAUCAUUAACGUCGCUCAGAACUUAUAUCUUUUAAUUAGGAAAGGCGACUUGAAGAAAUGUGACGUUACGCAGACGACCGCGUUUCUUCUCAACAUCGCAAAGUCAACUGUUCUCAAGUACUACAAGAAAGACAUUGAAGAAGUUUCAACACCAGGAAAAAAGAGGAAAAAAAGGCCACAGGAAGGAAAGUCACUUGACACAGUCGACGAUUUCACAGUAAAUGCAAUCAGGAAUGCAAUUUACAGGAUGUACGCUGAAGGUUUGAAUGUUACAGUCGACACCAUUUUGAAAGAAAUCAGGGAGAGACAAAUAGAUUAUUAUGGUGGAAGAUCAAGUCUUCAUAAAUUGUUAAAGAAGAUGGGAUUUUCAUGGAAAACUGUUGAUGGACGAAAAGCUUUGAUAGAGAAUGAAAACAUAGUAUUGCAGCGAAUAGAUUUCUUGAGAAAGUAUAAAGAAGAAAAAGAAAGAGGUGCCAAUUUCAUAUUUGUUGAUGAAACAUGGAUUUUCCAGAGAGGAACUGUAUCAAAGUCAUGGCAGGACAAGAGUCUACAAUCUGCGAAGAGACGUACUGUUGGAGAUGGUAAAAGGUUUAUUGUUGUUAAUGCUGGAGGGCGCACUGGCUUUGUGCCAGGAGCAGGAUUACUUUUUGUUUCAGGUCAGAAGACUGCAGACUACCAUGGCGAGAUGAAUGGGGAAACUUUCUUGAUGUGGUUUGAAGACAUGUUGGUGCAUCUUGAGGAACCCAGUGUCAUCAUAAUGGACAAUGCUUCAUAUCACAGCACCCAGGUUGAGAAAACACCUACAACGAACUGGACCAAGGCUGCACUGAUCGCGUGGCUGGAGAAGAAUGGGAUAAAACAUGAAAAUAAUUUGUUGAAAGUGGAGCUGCUGAGAAUAGCUAAACAAAACAAGCCCCGAAUACGGUAUAUUAUUUCGUUUUUUUUACAGCAUUUCUUUAAAAGUGAGAUAGUUGCAAAAAAUUACGUAUACACCUUGUUCUAACACACUUUUCAGAUAUGAGGUAGACGAGUUGGCUCGUAACUAUGGCCACGAAAUUCUACGACUCCCACCCUAUCACUGCCACUAUAAUGCAAUCGAACUAGUUUGGGCUCAAUGUAAACACCAUUACAAUAGUAACGUGGGGCGGGCCAAGAGAUUUGACAAUGAUUCAGUUGCAGCCAUCUGGAAAGAGGCUCUUGAUGCUUCCACACCAGAGAGAUGGGCGAGGUGUGUGGAUCACGUGGAGAAGCUAAUUCAAGCAGACUGGGAGAGAGAAGUCCACAUAGACAGCGGCACCAUUCCUCCACUCAUCAUCCACCUCGGCGAGGAUAGUUCAAGUGAAGACAGUGACAGCGAAGAAUUUGAGGUUACGACACAGCAAGUAGAUGGAGACAGUGAAGUACUGGCAGUUCCUCUUGAUGAUUUACCCGGGUGUUCUUAUUGAGGUCUGUAUGUAAUAAACACCUGGGCAACUGUAAGUAUUGGGGUUUGAAACAUUUUUUUUUCUUUUAUGCAUUCCCAUGAAGUAUGUUGAUUACUGGAACUUUAUGUAUUAACUUUAUAUUACACGUAUUAUGAAAUGAAUAUUAAAUUUCAUUUCUGGAUUCGUAUAGGUGUAUGUGAAACAUUUUAUUUUGUUGUGUGUCUUCAUUUUUCAGUGAACUUACUUGGAAAACAAAAAGCCAGUCCCCAUCCAGGGCCACAAAUAAAUAAUGCAUAUAAGUGGUAUAGAAAUUACUGUCAAUUCUUCACCACAAUUUUACUGUUCAUAAAAUUAUGAUUUUGUCUAAUAAGUAUACUCAGGAAAAUGUAUAUAACCAUAUUUUUAUUUGUGGCCUUAACCGGCAAAAUGGUACGGGUUUAUUAAAUAAAAGAAGAAAAUUCAUUUUUAAAUGUUUUCAUCUGAAUUUGUUAAUUUUAUUAAACCUUCAAUCCUUAGUCUUUUCCAGAUUGCUUAGAUGGACAGCCAUAUGUAUAAUUUACAAUACUUUUUUUUUCAGAUGCAGAAAACUGUGUUGAACUGUACUAAAUGAUGAUAUUUAUUGCUUACAUAAAUGUUGUAAAUUUAUAUAUUCUCCUAAAAAUUUACUUUAAAUUAUAUGUUAUUUCUUUAGCUAACAAACUUAUUUUUUAAUAUUUUUACCAUUGGGUAUCAUAAAUAAUGUUAUGAACAUAUGCAUGUAUACUUAGAUCAUAUUCAAAUUACUUUUAUAUAUAUAUAUAUAUAU
Molecule: RNA transcript, 2789 nt
Organism: Bacillus rossius redtenbacheri
Lineage: Eukaryota; Metazoa; Arthropoda; Insecta; Phasmatodea; Bacillidae
Exons: 6
Source: RefSeq, a predicted model, not a curated record